This 539-nucleotide ribosomal RNA is filed under the name uncultured bacterium. RNAcentral's name for it is "bacterial SSU rRNA". It matches the Rfam family "Bacterial small subunit ribosomal RNA", at positions 777 to 1313 of the family's 1533-position model. The record is from RNAcentral.
AAUAGAUACCCGGGUAGUCCACGCCGUAAACGAUGAGUGCUAAGUGUUAGAGGGUUUCCGCCCUUUAGUGCUGAAGUUAACGCAUUAAGCACUCCGCCUGGGGAGUACGGCCGCAAGGCUGAAACUCAAAGGAAUUGACGGGGGGCCCGCACAAGCGGUGGAGCAUGUGGUUUAAUUCGAAGCAACGCGAAGAACCUUACCAGGUCUUGACAUCCUCUGACAACCCUAGAGAUAGGGCUUCUCCUUCGGGGGGCAGAGUGACAGGUGGUGCAUGGUUGUCGUCAGCUCGUGUCGUGAGAUGUUGGGUUAAGUCCCGCAACGAGCGCAACCCUUGAUCUUAGUUGCCAUCAUUCAGUUGGGCACUCUAAGGUGACUGCCGGUGACAAACCGGGAGGAAGGUGGGGAUGACGUCAAAUCAUCAUGCCCCUUAUGACCUGGGCUACACACGUGCUACAAUGGACGGUACAAAGAGCUGCAAGACCGCGAGGUGGAGCUAAUCUCAUAAAACCGUUCUCAGUUCGGAUUGAGGUCUGCUAACG